GGCAGAUACGAGUGAAACAGAUGAAGCUGCAGCUGGAAGCAGUGACACUUACGCACAGGUCAUGAAGAAAAAGAAGGCAAAGAAGAACAAUGGUGCUGAUGCUGAACUCGGCAUGAAUGAUGUGACUUACGCUGAGAUUCAACUAAAACCCAUGAAAAAAGAGAAGAAAGCACAAGAAAAGACCAGCGUGGGUGAUGAUACU
Molecule: long non-coding RNA, 202 nt
Organism: Silurus meridionalis
Lineage: Eukaryota; Metazoa; Chordata; Actinopteri; Siluriformes; Siluridae
Exons: 4
Source: RefSeq, a predicted model, not a curated record